AUGAACGCUGUUCUGAAAGUAUGCAGUCUGAGUUGAUUAUCGUAAUCAGUUAAAACUUUCAACAACGGAUCUCUUGGUUCCGGCAUCGAUGAAGAACGCAGCGAAAUGCGAUAAGUAAUGUGAAUUGCAGAAUUCAGUGAAUCAUCGAGUCUUUGAACGCACAUUGCGCCCCCUGGUAUUCCGGGGGGCAUGCCUGUCCGAGCGUCAUUGCUGCCCUCAAGCACGGCUUGUGUGUUGGGCCCCCGUCCCCCUCUCCCGGGGGACGGGCCCGAAAGGCAGCGGCGGCACCGCGUCCGGUCCUCGAGCGUAUGGGGCUUUGUCACCUGCUCUGUAGGCCCGGCCGGCGCCAGCCGACACCCAACUUUAUUUUUCUAAGGUUGACCUCGGAUCAGGUAGGGAUACCCGCUGAACUUAAGCAUAUCAAUAAGCGGAGGAAAAGAAACCAACAGGGAUUGCCUCAGUAACGGCGAGUGAAGCGGCAAGAGCUCAAAUUUGAAAGCUGGCCCCUUCGGGGUCCGCGUUGUAAUUUGCAGAGGAUGCUUCGGGUGCAGCCCCCGUCUAAGUGCCCUGGAACGGGCCGUCAUAGAGGGUGAGAAUCCCGUCUGGGACGGGGUGUCUGCGUCCGUGUGAAGCUCCUUCGACGAGUCGAGUUGUUUGGGAAUGCAGCUCUAAAUGGGUGGUAAAUUUCAUCUAAAGCUAAAUACUGGCCGGAGACCGAUAGCGCACAAGUAGAGUGAUCGAAAGAUGAAAAGCACUUUGAAAAGAGAGUUAAACAGCACGUGAAAUUGUUGAAAGGGAAGCGUUUGCGACCAGACUCGCCCGCGGGGUUCAGCCGGCAUUCGUGCCGGUGUACUUCCCCGUGGGCGGGCCAGCGUCGGUUUGGGCGGCCGGUCAAAGGCCCUCGGAAUGUAUCACCUCUCGGGGUGUCUUAUAGCCGAGGGUGCAAUGCGGCCUGCCUGGACCGAGGAACGCGCUUCGGCUCGGACGCUGGCGUAA
This 996-nucleotide ribosomal RNA is filed under the name Aspergillus fumigatus. RNAcentral's name for it is "eukaryotic LSU rRNA". The stretch from base 379 to 996 matches the Rfam family "Eukaryotic large subunit ribosomal RNA", at positions 1 to 634 of the family's 3401-position model. Lineage: Eukaryota; Fungi; Ascomycota; Eurotiomycetes; Eurotiales; Aspergillaceae. The record is from RNAcentral.